GUCGCAGAAGGCAGCGGGGCUUUCCACACCUUCCUGGGUGGAUCCAACAGUACCUCUGUUUAGGGAGGAGAGAGAAGAGGGGAGUCAUGCACACAUUUGUUUGGUAAAGCUUAUAUACUCCUGUCCUCCAGGCGGUUCUAGUUCCCCAGAAUGCCCCUCCUCUGGGGUAGGUAAUGUGGCUGGAAGGGGACACCCUAAGCUAUUUCAGGGUUUCAAAUUCCCGUUUCACCAGUGGUAAUGAACUGUGUGUGUCCUUCCCUGAGACACAAGGUUUUGCCUCUGACCAAAAUGUCACAAAAAGAAAGUUUACACCCUCCAGACAACGUGUGUCGAGUAAACAACAUGGAAUGAACUUCCGUGGAAACACCACCCCACGAAGAAACACCGGAAUCUAAUGUUAGUCGAGAUACAGCGCGUUGAUAUCUUUUGCUGACGAGAGACAAAGCUGAUAGAAGGGAGGAUAAGGUAAGGAUCAGACUCGAGGCUUUCUGAAAGCCAGGACUUCAGGAGAACUCCAGAAGAAAAACAUACCACGUGGCCUCAUGUUAGGGAAAUGUAGCAGUUGGUUUAGAAAAUGCCUCCAGUGUGGUGAUGAAUCAGGCAAAUUGGGGGACUCAGUAAUUGAACAAAACCCAGAGUCAUUGGGUAGAAUGGACUCCAGUUGUUCAUGCAGCCUGACGUCCAUUCGUCUUCCCCUUUCAGAUUAUACCAUUUGGAGUUUGCUUUGGGGCAGUUGAUUCUCUCCCGUGCUCAGCCACGCCAUUCCCGUGGUAUUGACCCUUGUCUCUCCUCUUAGGAUUGGAGAGGGCCAAUAAUCCCACCUCACCCAUUUCUCUCAACCACGACUGGACAUGUGAUGGGCAGAAAAUUAGAUAGAACCAGCAAGAGCUGUAGUUUCUAGAGCUUCUGGGCAUGGGGGGAAGGGAAGAUUCUUUCCUCCUUGAUACCACUCCGGGGGAGCCAUUUUUUCUUGGUCUGUUUGAACUACAAUAUGAAGACUGGAGUAGUGUCCUUCCUACUAAAAUAAAAGGCCCUGGAAUUGCCAGUGGAAACCCACUCAAGGCCUGAAGAAGAAGCUGAUGCUGUGGAAAGUACAGAGGAAAAAGUGAAGAGAAACAAAGCUGGUCUUCGAUGACACUAGAUCAAGCUGUACCUGAAGCAGUCCUGCCCACCACCUUUUCAGUGAUGCAAGUCUACACAUUCCAGGAUUCCUCAAGACACUUUGAAUUGGAAUUCUAUCAUUUUCAGUGGAAGGAUUUGUGACUUCUCCUUUGCUUUCAUCAGAUUAACACUGAUGGAUGAAUGCCCUUUCAACAAGUUAUGGUGGGAAAAUGGGACCGUGCAGUGGG
RNAcentral lists this long non-coding RNA (1349 nucleotides) under Marmota monax (woodchuck). The record is from RNAcentral. Lineage: Eukaryota; Metazoa; Chordata; Mammalia; Rodentia; Sciuridae.